RNAcentral lists this ribosomal RNA (253 nucleotides) under uncultured bacterium. Its description in RNAcentral is "partial 16S ribosomal RNA". It matches the Rfam family "Bacterial small subunit ribosomal RNA", at positions 524 to 776 of the family's 1533-position model. The record is from RNAcentral.
UACGUAGGGGGCAAGCGUUGUCCGGAAUCAUUGGGCGUAAAGAGCGUGUAGGCGGCCCGAUAAGUCCGCUGUGAAAGUCCAGGGCUCAACCCUGGGAUGCCGGUGGAUACUGUCGGGCUCGAGUCCGGAAGAGGAGUGUGGAAUUCCUGGUGUAGCGGUGAAAUGCGCAGAUAUCAGGAGGAACGCCAACAGCGAAGGCAACACUCUGGGCCGGUACUGACGCUGAGGAGCGAAAGCGUGGGGAGCGAACAGG